UACGUAGGGUGCAAGCGUUGUCCGGAUUUAUUGGGUUUAAAGGGUGCGUAGGCGGCCCUGUAAGUCAGUGGUGAAAUACUCCAGCUUAACUGGAGGGGUGCCAUUGAUACUGCAGGGCUUGAGUUAAGUUGAAGUUGGCGGAAUUGACGGUGUAGCGGUGAAAUGCUUAGAUAUCAGGAGGAACACCGGUGGCGAAGGCGGGUCUCUGGGCAGUAACUGACGCUGAGGAGCGAAAGCGUGGGGAGCGAACAGG
RNAcentral lists this ribosomal RNA (253 nucleotides) under uncultured bacterium. RNAcentral describes it as "partial 16S ribosomal RNA". It matches the Rfam family "Bacterial small subunit ribosomal RNA", at positions 524 to 776 of the family's 1533-position model. The record is from RNAcentral.